Molecule: ribosomal RNA, 429 nt
Filed under: Gemmatimonadota bacterium
Lineage: Bacteria; Pseudomonadati; Gemmatimonadota
Description: Gemmatimonadetes bacterium partial 16S ribosomal RNA
Rfam family: Bacterial small subunit ribosomal RNA
Source: RNAcentral
UAGGGAAUCUUCGGCAAUGGACGAAAGUCUGACCGAGCAACGCCGCGUGAGUGAAGAAGGUUUUCGGAUCGUAAAACUCUGUUGUUAGAGAAGAACAAGGACGUUAGUAACUGAACGUCCCCUGACGGUAUCUAACCAGAAAGCCACGGCUAACUACGUGCCAGCAGCCGCGGUAAUACGUAGGUGGCAAGCGUUGUCCGGAUUUAUUGGGCGUAAAGCGAGCGCAGGCGGUUUCUUAAGUCUGAUGUGAAAGCCCCCGGCUCAACCGGGGAGGGUCAUUGGAAACUGGGAGACUUGAGUGCAGAAGAGGAGACUGGAAUUCCAAGUGUAGCGGUGAAAUGCGUAGAUAUAUGGAGGAACACCAGUGGCGAAGGCGGCUCUCUGGUCUGUAACUGACGCUGAGGCUCGAAAGCGAGGGGAGCAAACAGG